GGACUAAUUCUAUAUUUGUUCCUUCCAGAUAAGGGGAAAAAAGGAUGUGAAAGAAUAUAUUUUUCUUCUUAGUUGAUGAAUCUCAUUUAUUGAUCAAUAUGUGAUAUUCCAACUCCUCAUCACUACUGAAAUCCAUAUGAUAUUGCGAUUUAUUCGUUUUUGCCUAAACUCAAUUACUCAAACAAAACAAGAUCUUCAUUCUUUAUUUGUUUUUUUCCUUUUCACUAUUUUAACUGAGUAAAUAUCAUUUCUUAAUGCAUUUGGUUAAUUUUGGGGUUUCACUUGCACGCAAUACCCUAUACCGAAGGAGACAAGUACCAUGGCCCAAAAGCAACUCUCAAUGUUUGGUAACCUAAAAUACAACAGCAUCAUAACGAGUUCAAUUUGUCCCAAAUUUGGUUACUGGGUGGUUCAUUUGGUGAAGAUCUCAAUAGCAUUAAAGCUGGUUGGUAGGUAUAUUUUUCUCCAAAUUACUCGGUCGAUCAUAAUUUGUUGCAUUCAUCUAACGGAUUAGAAUGCAUGUUAUUUCAAGUUAGCCCUGAUCUCUACGGGGAUAAAAACAUAACCAUUUUUUAAUACAUACCUAUAGACAAUUUAAAAAAGAAUGCCAGCUCAUAUUAAAUAGAAGUUAAUUAUAAGUACAAAAACUCAAAGAAAGCAUUUAAUGGAGGUUCUUAAUAGUUAGUCUUGUGUUUUGGAACAUGCUUAUAUUAUGUGACAAUUAUGCUUCUAUUCCAAUCCAAUUUAGCACAUAGAAUAAAAUCUUCAAUUGGCACCCGAUGUCGGAUGUCAAUGAUAACUGGAGCUAAUUGGUUAUAUGUAGAGGAAAUUUUACUAUUAGUUCAUCUCAAGCAUAAAUAAAAUAGUUAAUUCCUAAGCAAGUUGGAGUAUAGUACGAAUCAUGCUGUAAAUUUCUCUGUGAAAAUGAUUUUCUUAUAUUUGUAGUUUUUUUUCAUGGGACAAGCUUUGAGAAAUCGUUUGGCAAUGAUGAGAGAAGAGAAAGAAAAUCCGAUUUUUGAGAAUUCUUAAAAUGAAAGAACGACGAGAAUCGAUUCCCUAAAAAAGAAAGCACUGAACGUGUCUUCAAAGUCAAGCAUAGAGUGGUGUUAGUGGCAACUUUGUUUCAUUUGAGGAAAUUCGAGAUGCUAAUGAGCUGCAAGCUAUUAAGGCAUUUCGACGAGCCUUGAUGCUAAUUGCCAAACAAGUUUGAUGAUUAUCAUAUGAUGUUGAGUGAUCAGAAUUCUUCGAUGGAACAUAUAUCUUUGUAGACUAAGGGGUUUGCCUUCGGUUAGAUAAAGGACCAUGAAAAAUUCCCCGAGAUACAAAAGGUUCUUCCUAACAUGGGAGCUAUUAAAUUGAUCUACAAAGAUAAUAUAUAAAUACUUGUCUUAUAAUUUUGAUCAUGUUAAAAAAUAAUAAAUGGCUCGAAAUCAUGUUGCAGAUAGUGCUUGAUGGUGAAGUACGACUGCCAGGAAGGUGGUUGAAAAUCUUAACAACGACGGAGAGAUAGUUUAUGCUAAGCCCCACUACUAGAUUGUAUAGACUAUGUCUGUUGUGCAUAUGAUUAGGCACAACUACACAAUAUUUCUGUUUUAUGUGAGAUUUUGUUUUUAUUUGGUCGUUGAAGCAGGUAAAAGGCAGUGACACCUCAACUGUUGAAUUUGGUUCUGAAGCUGAAGAUAUUUCUUUCACCAAAACCUAUUAGGAGUUACUCGCAUCUUUGAUUGACUCCUGUUUGUGAGGAGUUAAAGCUAAUGGAAACUCUAGCUUGGUAACUUAUCACGAUAUGAUGAGUAUAUUCCUAUGGUUGACAAAGUUGUUGAUUCUGGAUGGAAAAAGCAGACAUCACUUUCAAAACCUUAUAUUUUUAAAGACCUAGGGGCUAUCCUUUUCUUCGGUUGAACUCAUCUUUCUGUCAUUGCAAACGUCGCCUUAGGUGCUCAUUUUUAUUCUUACAACUCUCAUCAUAUGGUGAUCAUGUUUAGAGGUUAUCUAUGAUUAACUUAUGAUUGUUCUUUUGUUAAUAGCUAUGCCUUAAUAACCUUUUGUUAUAUCCUGAUAUUAAAUGACUGCUAUAUUGGAGAUAUAAGAUUAGCUAUGUCUAAAUAAGAUUACAAUGACACUAGAUUAGUAACUAUUUUUUGAUUGCAUAGUAUAUUAUUUUUCCUCUCUUUGAUUUUUAUAUCUAUAGGUAUAAGAUAAAAGAAAAGGAAAAAAUUGUUCAGGCAUAUUCUUCUUAGGAUCUUGAAGAAAUUUUUAGCUCUGGUAGAAUAAGAGGAUGCUUGAUAAACCCAUUCGAGAAAUUGGAAGGAAAAAGACUAUUUACAAGCACAAGAAAAGAAAUUGAUCGUGGAGAUAAAAAAAAAAAAAAAUGUAAAGCAAGGGCAGAUGGUAAGUUGUUCUCUAUAGAUAAUUUCAUUUCAGUUUCUUAGACUUUAUGGCUCUCUUUUCCCCCAUAGGCCCCAUCUGCCUUAUUGCCCAGGUUACUCCCAUAAAGACAUUUUGGAAUUUUUUUUUGAUCAGAUUGAUUUUAAAGAUAGAUUCAUUAAUGAUAAUUUAGUGAAUUUUCAUCUUCAUUAUAUGAACCAUCUAGAAGAAACAAGUUGUCCAAAUUUAAAGCUUAAAUAACAUAAGUGAAAGGGGUAAUGUUGGACAAUAUUGAGAAAGUACAACAAGAGGCAUCAAAGCCCAAGCACAAGAAGCCGAUACUGGAGUUGUGAAAGAGACCUUCCUACAAGCCUUUUGGUCCACAAACUUCGGCAUGAUUGCAAAUCUAUUUUAAAGUUUCUUAAAUGAAAAUUCAAUUGCUAUUAUUUCUUGUAGUUAUUCAACCUGCUUCAACCUACUUUCUUGUUAUUGAAAUUAGUUUAAAAGCAUCGAUAUCUUCUUCCCAAUUUUUUGAUUUCUCUAUCACGCCUUGGAGAUA
Molecule: long non-coding RNA, 2926 nt
Organism: Olea europaea var. sylvestris
Lineage: Eukaryota; Viridiplantae; Streptophyta; Magnoliopsida; Lamiales; Oleaceae
Exons: 5
Source: RefSeq, a predicted model, not a curated record